GGUCAACUCUUAACCUAAUCGGGUCAAGCCCAACUGAAUCCAAUUCAAUUGGACUUGAUCCAAAAAUAAUUACUCAAUCAAAUUGAGUUAAUUAGAGAUCAAAUCACUAAUUAAAUCUCUCAUAAAUAUAGAGUCUAAAUCCGAUGGGUAAUCGGGCAUCAGAAUUGAUCGAUAUGUAAUCCUGAUCGAAGAGUCCCAAACCAGUGGGACUCUUGACCCCGAUACCCAAAAUGUGUGGGAC
RNAcentral lists this long non-coding RNA (241 nucleotides) under Elaeis guineensis (African oil palm). Its description in RNAcentral is "long non-coding RNA (EGUI_LNC081154)". Lineage: Eukaryota; Viridiplantae; Streptophyta; Magnoliopsida; Arecales; Arecaceae. The record is from RNAcentral.